This 2428-nucleotide long non-coding RNA is filed under the name Durio zibethinus. Its description in RNAcentral is "long non-coding RNA (DZIB_LNC000012)". The record is from RNAcentral. Lineage: Eukaryota; Viridiplantae; Streptophyta; Magnoliopsida; Malvales; Malvaceae.
AUGAAAGAAGCAACGUUUGAAAUUCUCUCAUUGCAAAAGAAAAUAACUUCAUCAAGAAAUUUCAAGGGCAAUUACAUCAAACAAAGUAACAAACUUGAAAUACAAAGAAAAAAGCUACUUCUCUUUGUUUUUAUGACGUUUAUGGUAUCUCUCUCUCUCUCGCACCUUUGACACGUUUAUCUUUGCUUAAUUAUGUUAGUAAAAUCUUACUCCGUCAUCCCCACCAUUGAUGCACCGCAACACCUUCAUCCCUUAGCUUCCCAUACAAAGCCAAGCAUUCCCAAUAAGCCCUUUUGCUCGUGUUCUUUCUUCCACCAUGUCCUUGAGGCUUGCAUUCCAAGAAUAGUUCAUCAACCAACCUGAUAGCCUUGCUCUUUACCAGAUCUUCAACCACUUCAGCCUCUGCCUUCAUCACCACAUAAUCAGCCACAUUCACAUUCUUCCUCAGCCAAUUCGACAUCCCAAUCUCCGUUGCAGUUGGCACCUCUUUCCUUGAAGCCUCCUUGGUCAGAGUCUCAAUCUUGUACAUCUCAAAUUUCAGAUUCCUUGUGGGGUAAUUCUCGGUAAACCAAUUGGUGCCACUGCCACGUUCUUUCUCCGGCAAGCCUACGUCAAUGAACACCCGACGAGGAUAGCUUUCAAGUGUGUCUCCCAAUAGGUCUGGUAGGAACUUGGUUCGUUUCAGGUAAGUUUUUGAUCUCCCUGAAGAUGCUCUUGGUGGUUCAAGAAGCACAAUCUCCAGGUUCUUCAGUGCUGCUUUCUUUGCUUCUGAUGUGUACCCCAAAAGCCUCCUUUGGGUGUUAGAGAUUGUUUUAGCAUGUUUAAUUUUCUUCAUUACCAAAACUUUUGACUGGAAUUUCCUGAAGUAGACGAUUCUGUAAUUGGAUGGCUUGUCGAAUGAAUUGGAUGACCUUCCACUCAGCUGAACAGCAACAAUGCCACCAACUUUAACAGAGCGAUCUAUGAAUUCUGAGGCUGCUCCGAAGUUUUGCGUGAAGGUGAAGUCAAAGGACUCGUUAGGGACUGAACUUUGUCGUUCCAAAUCCGUGACAGAACUGAAUUCCAUAUCACUUUUCCUCAAGAACAGAGAACUAUGAAUGGCCUCGUCAUCAUCAUUGCAUAACAUCAGUCCUUUGUCACCCAGGUUCAGAAUGCCUUCCUUGUUCAAAUCGUGAAAGAGCAAUGGCAAGAGCUCCAGAUUAAUGGGAUCAGUAGAGACAACUUUAGGCUUAAUUUUAUCAGCAUGGCGUGCAUAUUCUUUGUUGAUAAUGGAUCCUAUUCCCGACCAAGGAAGUAAAACAAUGAUCAAGGCCAAAAUCACCAUGAACCGAGCAAGAAGCUUAAAAAUCCUAGAAUCAAGGACCUUGACGAUCAAGUCUGUACAAGCAGGCAAGUUAAUGCCACCAUAACGCACAGGCUUGUGCUUGUUAUGGCAUUUGGCUUGAAGUCCAUCAAUAAUAAUUUGGGCAGUCAUUUUGAGGGAAUUCAUGACAAAAAUGGGCUCAAAAUUUAAUCACUACAAUUCAAAAACGGAUUCAAAAGGGUUUUAAAGGAAGUGUGAAUAGAAAUAGCAGAUAAAAAAAGAGCAAAAACAAGAUUGUAGUAGGCGAGAGGGAGAGGGAAGAAGCAUUUGAGAGAGGCAAAUUUAGCGAGUGCAAAAUCGAGCAGCGGUGUGAUUUCCACCCACGAGACCCACACGGGUACUUUGCAAUCUUGACCAAAGUAAUAGCAACUGCCUAAACCGCUGAACCUCCAUUUCUUGACCUUUUCCCAGUUCCACAAUGGAUUGCAUACACCAACUCAAUGAUUUUAACGGCACAUUUUUAACACUAACUUCACCAUGCCCUUCAUCAACGAAACAUGGUGGCAAAGGGGGGGGAGGGGGGGAGAAAGAGACAGAGAAAGUGAUGUUUUCUUUUCUUCUUCUUCUCUUCUUUUCCUUCCUUCCUUGCUUUGAUUUGUGGAAGGGAAGCUUUUCCUGAUAAUGGGGUUGAUCAAUGGGAGGUAGGAAAGAGGAAUAUAUAGGAGAGAUGUUUGAAAAAAAUAAAGGAGGAUUUCAUAGUCGUUAUGGAAAUUGGCAAAAAUGGAUGGUGUCACGAGAAACAAGUUUAGCCAUUGCUCUCAUCAUAUCCAUCUGUUUUAUUAUUAUUAUUAUUAUUUUCUUCACUUAAUUUGCAUGUACUAGAGAGAUUAAGAGAUGGAAGUAGGAUUCUCCUUUGAAAGCGGCAAGCGUUAAUUUUGUUACUACCCACGUAAGUUUGGGGUGUAAGUGAUUGUGCGGUAAAGACUUUGGUUUUCUUCUUGCAUUGCUAAUAAUAAUAAUGCAACAACGAUACCAGGUCGUUUUCUUUCCAAAAGUUAAAGUUAGAGUUGGAAACUUCUUGAUUUAAAGCUAGAAACAGUUAAGCUGAUGAAAUGAAUAUUAAUG